UGUAAAUUGUCUUCUUAGCUGUCAUAUAACAGUAAAUCCAGUGCUUCAUUUGAGCUGAAUCCUGCCGGAAUAGGAUAGGGAAAAGUAAUGUAUGCCCAUAAAUAUCAAAGAACGUGACAGACAAUUUAAAAUAUAUUAUCAUAUAUUUAAAACUCAUAUAAAUCUCACAACCCCCAUACAUUUUUUAAUAUUGAUAUAUAUUUUCAAUAUGCAAAAUGUACGUAGAUUAUUCUUUUGUUCAAUGGAUUUAUUGCUUUGAAAUGUUUUCCAUAAAAGUUUUUUUUACAUAGCAUAUAUUUAAAAACCAUACAUACAUCUCACAUGUAGGGAUUCAUUAUUUAGUCAUUGCAUUUGGUGUUAGGCAACAUUAUUACUACUUUGUUUCUUGUAGCUACUGUAGAUGAUACUUGCCAACAUUUUGAGAAUAGAUUGACAUGGCGUGGAUAACUAUUGUAGGUUUAUAAUUUAUGUACAAGUUUUGAAAAUGCACAGAAACCUGUUUAUUGUCAUACUGUAGUUGUGGCUGCCCAUAAGGUUAUGGCAUCACAUUGGAUUUAUAAAAUAUGGUUUGGAUAUUAUUGUUCUAACUAAUGACUGCAGUAGGGUUGUAAUUCCCUAUUAUUUUGGACUGAGUCCUCGAGAAUUUCCAUUGGGAAUCGUUUAUGCAUAUUGCCAACAGCAGGGGGCGCGGUAUGAGCGGCUCCCCUUCCCUCACCAACACUCGAAGAAGUCUGUGACAACUGGACGUUUCUCCUCCUGUCUACUUUGUCUUUGUUCUGUUAAACAGAUCAAAAUUCACCCAGGCUCAAAAGUUACGGUUCCAAAUUCGUCUGGAGGGCGGUCAUGCAACUAGGUCAACAGUUCCACUGACAUGGCAAGAGCGCUGUUGGGUGCUUUUAAUGUUGACAUGUUGCUGAAGUGCAACCUGAGAGUUGCAAAGCUAAAAUGGAAGAAGAUGGGGGAACAAAGACAGAUUGGAUCCUGAAAAAGUGAUAACAAUAACCGAUUCUGUCAUGAAGUGCUUCCCUGGUUCAACAAAUGGACACGUGGGAAUGGCUUACAACAAUAAAUGGCUGAAUUAAGAAGCGAUGAGAGCAAAA
Long non-coding RNA from Salvelinus fontinalis (brook trout), 1100 nucleotides. RefSeq lists it as uncharacterized. The transcript is spliced from 4 exons. NCBI's taxonomy places the organism in Eukaryota, Metazoa, Chordata, Actinopteri, Salmoniformes, Salmonidae. The record is from RefSeq and is a predicted model, not a curated record.